Molecule: ribosomal RNA, 451 nt
Filed under: uncultured bacterium
Lineage: Bacteria
Description: partial 16S ribosomal RNA
Rfam family: Bacterial small subunit ribosomal RNA
Source: RNAcentral
AGCGAACGCUGGCGGCAUGCCUAACACAUGCAAGUCGCACGGGGGGGCUUCGGCCUCCCAGUGGCGGACGGGGGAGGAACGCGUAGGGACCUGUCGAGGGGUGGGGGAUAACCGCGGGAAACUGCGGCUAAUACCGCAUGACGCCGCGGCGUGACAGCCGGGGCCAAAGGCGAAAGCCGCCCGCCGAGGGGCCUGCGUCCGAUUAGCUGGUUGGCGGGGUAGCGGCCCACCAAGGCGUCGAUCGGUAGCUGGUCUGAGAGGGUGAUCAGCCACACCGGGAGUGGGAAGCGGGAGGGACUCCUACGGGAGGGAGGAGUGGGGAAUAUUGGACAAUGGGGGCAAGCCUGAUGCAGCAAGGCCGCGUGGGUGAAGAAGGUCUGCGGAUUGUAAAGCCCUUUCGGCGGGGACGAUGGUGACGGUACCCGCAGAAGAAGCCCCGGCUAACUUCGUG